AGAGUUUGAUCAUGGCUCAGGACGAACGCUGGCGGCAGGCCUAACACAUGCAAGUCGAGCGCGCCUUCGGGCGAGCGGCGGACGGGUUAGUAACGCGUGGGAACGUGCCCAGAUCUACGGAAUAGCCACUGGAAACGGUGAGUAAUACCGUAUACGCCCUUCGGGGGAAAGAUUUAUCGGAUUUGGAUCGGCCCGCGUUAGAUUAGGUAGUUGGUGGGGUAACGGCCUACCAAGCCUACGAUCUAUAGCUGGUUUUAGAGGAUGAUCAGCAACACUGGGACUGAGACACGGCCCAGACUCCUACGGGAGGCAGCAGUGGGGAAUCUUGGACAAUGGGGGCAACCCUGAUCCAGCCAUGCCGCGUGAGUGAAGAAGGCCCUAGGGUCGUAAAACUCUUUCGCCUGUGAUGAUAAUGACAGUAGCAGGUAAAGAAACCCCGGCUAACUCCGUGCCAGCAGCCGCGGUAAUACGGAGGGGGUUAGCGUUGUUCGGAAUUACUGGGCGUAAAGCGCACGUAAGCGGAUUAGAAAGUUAGAGGUGAAAUCCCGGGGCUCAACCCCGGAACUGCCUUUAAAACUACUAGUCUAGAGUUCGAGAGAGGUGAGUGGAAUUCCGAGUGUAGAGGUGAAAUUCGUAGAUAUUCGGAGGAACACCAGUGGCGAAGGCGGCUCACUGGCUCGAUACUGACGCUGANGUGCGAAAGUGUGGGGAGCAAACAGGAUUAGAUACCCUGGUAGUCCACACCGUAAACGAUGAAUGCCAGUCGUCGGGUAGUAUACUAUUCGGUGACACACCUAACGGANUAAGC
RNAcentral lists this ribosomal RNA (808 nucleotides) under uncultured marine microorganism. RNAcentral's name for it is "bacterial SSU rRNA". It matches the Rfam family "Bacterial small subunit ribosomal RNA", at positions 8 to 865 of the family's 1533-position model. The record is from RNAcentral.